This 496-nucleotide ribosomal RNA is filed under the name uncultured Sphingobacteriales bacterium. RNAcentral's name for it is "bacterial SSU rRNA". It matches the Rfam family "Bacterial small subunit ribosomal RNA", at positions 903 to 1382 of the family's 1533-position model. The record is from RNAcentral. Lineage: Bacteria; Pseudomonadati; Bacteroidota; Sphingobacteriia; Sphingobacteriales.
CCAGCCCGCUCAGAAACUUAAAGGAAUUGACGGGGGCCCGCACAAGCGGUGGAGCAUGUGGUUUAAUUCGAUGAUACGCGAGGAACCUUACCUGGGCUCAAAUGUAUGUUGACGUAUUCUGAAAGGGAUACUUCUUCGGACAAUAUACAAGGUGCUGCAUGGUUGUCGUCAGCUCGUGCCGUGAGGUGUCGGGUUAAGUCCCAUAACGAGCGCAACCCCUAUCAUUAGUUGCCAUCAGGUCAAGCUGGGGACUCUAAUGAAACUGCCUACGCAAGUAGUGAGGAAGGUGGGGAUGACGUCAAAUCAGCACGGCCCUUACGUCCAGGGCUACACACGUGCUACAAUGGCCGAUACAGAGGGCAGCUACCUGGUGACAGGAUGCAAAUCUCCAAAGUCGGUCUCAGUUCGGAUCGGAGUCUGCAACCCGACUCCGUGAAGUUGGAUUCGCUAGUAAUCGCGCAUCAGCCAUGGCGCGGUGAAUACGUUCCCGGGCCUU